AGACAGGAGGGCGAUCUGGCUGCGACAUUUGUCGUCCCACUGAUCGCCAGGGUUGAUUCAGCUGGUCUGGCUGGCUAGGCGGGUGUCCCCUUCCUCCCUCACCGCUCCAUGUGUGUCCCUCCCGAAGCUGCAUGCUCCACUGAAGAGGACGACCUUCCCCAAAUAGAGGAGGACCCAUCUUCGGUCAAGGGUACAUGAGUAGCUACGCUCCCCUGCUAGAACCUCCAAACGAGCUCUCAAGAAAGACACUACCUGAAGCGAGUCCAUCAGGAUAUGCAAGAGUAAUCCUGGUAAAUAAGUAACAGAAGAUACAAGACAGGUGCUACGGGAGAAGAACCUG
RNAcentral lists this small nuclear RNA (340 nucleotides) under Jaculus jaculus (lesser Egyptian jerboa). RNAcentral describes it as "7SK RNA (ENSJJAG00000006516.1)". It matches the Rfam family "7SK RNA". Rfam says of the family: 7SK was discovered as an abundant small nuclear RNA in the mid-70s but a possible function has only recently been suggested. Two independent studies have found that 7SK RNA binds the CDK9/cyclin T complex (known as elongation factor P-TEFb). P-TEFb activates transcription by phosphorylating the C-terminal domain of RNA polymerase II. The record is from Rfam by way of RNAcentral. Lineage: Eukaryota; Metazoa; Chordata; Mammalia; Rodentia; Dipodidae.